UCUCUCUGAAUCUGCGAACGGCUCCGCAAACCAGUUGUAAACAUAGGCAAGUCCCGCUCUUGGUUGGCUCUUUCGGGGGUUGGCCUUGGGCACUUAUAUGGAUAACCGUGGUAAUUCUGAGGCUAAUACAUGACAAUGCUACCCUGCCGCCGGGCUGCUGGUACUUCGGUGCUGGUGUGUCUAGUGGCGGGGGACGCGCGAGACAAGGUUGGGUAAUUCGGGAAAGAACGCGCGUUCAGACCACCGCUUGCGGGCCUCGCGUAGGACAGGUGCGGCUUGCCGUGCCUUACUUGCUUGGCCUGGUGGCUCCUGCUUCGUGCUUCUGACCUAUCAACUAGAUGGCAGCAUACGGGACAUGCCAUGGUGACAACGGGUACAGAGGAUUAGGGUUCGAUCCUGGAGAGUGGGCCUGAGAGAUU
RNAcentral lists this ribosomal RNA (419 nucleotides) under uncultured myxomycete. RNAcentral describes it as "SSU rRNA". It matches the Rfam family "Eukaryotic small subunit ribosomal RNA", at positions 76 to 405 of the family's 1831-position model. The record is from RNAcentral. Lineage: Eukaryota; Evosea; Eumycetozoa.